RNAcentral lists this long non-coding RNA (206 nucleotides) under Mytilus galloprovincialis (Mediterranean mussel). The record is from RNAcentral. Lineage: Eukaryota; Metazoa; Mollusca; Bivalvia; Mytilida; Mytilidae.
GUUGGCUAUAUAAAUAUUUUGAUAUGAGCGUCACUGAUGAGUCAAAUGUAGACCAAACGCGCGUCUGGCGUACUAAAUUAUAAUCCCGGUAACUUUGAUAACUAUUUACACCACAGGGUCGAUACCACUGCUGGUGGACGUUUCGUCCUCGAGGGUAUCACCAGCCCAGCAGUCAACAUUUCGGCGUUAACACGAAUAUGAAUAAU